UGACUGCUAAUACCGCAUAAGCGCACAGAACCGCAUGGUGUAGUGUGAAAAACUCCGGUGGUAUGAGAUGGACCCGCGUCUGAUUAGGUAGUUGGUGGGGUAAAGGGCCUACCAAGCCGACGAUCAGUAGCCGACCUGAGAGGGUGACCGGCCACAUUGGGACUGAGACACGGCCCAGACUCCUACGGGAGGCAGCAUG
This 199-nucleotide ribosomal RNA is filed under the name uncultured bacterium. RNAcentral's name for it is "partial 16S ribosomal RNA". It matches the Rfam family "Bacterial small subunit ribosomal RNA", at positions 157 to 353 of the family's 1533-position model. The record is from RNAcentral.